GAUCUGUUUAAUUGAAUACGGGUUGGAGAUUUCAAAAGUUAUCCGAUCCAGACCCACCUGCAAAUCGAGAUUACUCCCGAAGUUGUCUUCUUUAGAACCAAGUUCGAUUGCGCCUCCUCUCUGCAACUCAAGAUUACAGCAUAGUGAACGAUGGCCAAGCAUCACCCUGAUUUGAUCAUGUUCCUGAAGCAACCAUUGGGCGGCUCUGAGAGAAGUGUGAACGGUCAUUGCGUUAUCUGUGGAGGAGUUGGGAUUUCUGAUGCUUACUAUUGCUCAUCGUAGUUUUUGUGGAAAAGAUAGGAAGAUGUUAGAUAAGCAAGAUGUUAGCUUACUUUGAGUCUCAGAGACCUGCCUUUGUGAUGGGUAUUAUGUAUGUUAGAUAAAUCAGAACAAUUAUGGAAAGAACAAUUAUGUAUUAUGUAUGUUAGCAAUGGAAUGAUGCAAAGAACAAAUUUUUUCUGCUCAA
Rosa rugosa (rugosa rose) is the source of this 466-nucleotide long non-coding RNA. RefSeq lists it as uncharacterized. The transcript is spliced from 2 exons. The record is from RefSeq and is a predicted model, not a curated record. NCBI's taxonomy places the organism in Eukaryota, Viridiplantae, Streptophyta, Magnoliopsida, Rosales, Rosaceae.